UACGAAGGGGGCUAGCGUUGCUCGGAAUCACUGGGCGUAAAGCGCACGUAGGCGGAUCUUUAAGUCAGGGGUGAAAUCCUGGAGCUCAACUCCAGAACUGCCUUUGAUACUGAGGAUCUUGAGUACGGGAGAGGUGAGUGGAACUGCGAGUGUAGAGGUGAAAUUCGUAGAUAUUCGCAAGAACACCAGUGGCGAAGGCGGCUCACUGGCCCGUAACUGACGCUGAGGCACGAAAGCGUGGGGAGCAAACAGG
Molecule: ribosomal RNA, 253 nt
Filed under: uncultured bacterium
Lineage: Bacteria
Description: partial 16S ribosomal RNA
Rfam family: Bacterial small subunit ribosomal RNA
Source: RNAcentral